RNAcentral lists this ribosomal RNA (427 nucleotides) under uncultured bacterium. Its description in RNAcentral is "partial 16S ribosomal RNA". It matches the Rfam family "Bacterial small subunit ribosomal RNA", at positions 355 to 774 of the family's 1533-position model. The record is from RNAcentral.
UGGGGAAUUUUGGACAAUGGGGGAAACCCUGAUCCAGCCAUCCCGCGUGUGCGAUGAAGGCCUUCGGGUUGUAAAGCACUUUUGGCAGGAAAGAAACGUCAUGGGUUAAUACCCCGUGAAACUGACGGUACCUGCAGAAUAAGCACCGGCUAACUACGUGCCAGCAGCCGCGGUAAUACGUAGGGUGCAAGCGUUAAUAGGAAUUACUGGGCGUAAAGCGUGCGCAGGCGGUUCGGAAAGAAAGAUGUGAAAUCCCAGAGCUUAACUUUGGAACUGCAUUUUUAACUACCGGGCUAGAGUGUGUCAGAGGGAGGUGGAAUUCCGCGUGUAGCAGUGAAAUGCGUAGAUAUGCGGAGGAACACCGAUGGCGAAGGCAGCCUCCUGGGAUAACACUGACGCUCAUGCACGAAAGCGUGGGGAGCAAACA